RNAcentral lists this transfer RNA (70 nucleotides) under Fundulus heteroclitus (mummichog). RNAcentral describes it as "tRNA (ENSFHEG00000000038.1)". It matches the Rfam family "tRNA". From Rfam's summary of the family: Transfer RNA (tRNA) molecules are approximately 80 nucleotides in length. The record is from RNAcentral. Lineage: Eukaryota; Metazoa; Chordata; Actinopteri; Cyprinodontiformes; Fundulidae.
CAAAGAAUAGUUUAAUGCAGAAUCCUAGCUUUGGGAGCUAGGGGUGGGGGUUAAACCCCCUCUUCUUUGA